AGAGUUUGAUCAUGGCUCAGGAUGAACGCUAGCGGCAGGCUUAACACAUGCAAGUCGAGGGGUAAAUAGUCGCAAUACUGGUGACGACCGGCGCACGGGUGCGGAACACGUACUGAACCUACCUUUAUCUGGGGCAUAGCCCGGAGAAAUCCGGAUUAACUCCCCAUAGUAUCAUUGGUUGGCAUCAUUUGAUGAUUAAAAAUUUAUUGGAUAAAGAUGGCAGUGCGUCCCAUUAGCUAGUUGGUAGGGUAACGGCCUACCAAGGCGACGAUGGGUAGCUGGUGUGAGAGCACGACCAGCCACACGGGCACUGAGACACGGGCCCGACUCCUACGGGAGGCAGCAGUGAGGAAUAUUGGUCAAUGGACGCAAGUCUGAACCAGCCAUGCCGCGUGAAGGAUGGAGGCCUUCUGGGUUGUAAACUUCUUUUAUCUGGGAAGAAAACUAAGGUUUCUACUUUAGCCGACGGUACCAGAGGAAUAAGCACCGGCUAACUCCGUGCCAGCAGCCGCGGUAAUACGGAGGGUGCAAGCGUUAUCCGGAUUUACUGGGUUUAAAGGGUGUGUAGGCGGGUCUUUAAGUCAGUGGUGAAAUCUCCGAGCUUAACUUGGAAACUGCCAUUGAUACUAUUGAUCUUGAAUUUUGUUGAGGUAGGCGGAAUAAGUCAUGUAGCGGUGAAAUGCAUAGAUAUGACUUAGAACACCAAUUGCGAAGGCAGCUUGCUAAACAAAUAUUGACGCUGAGGCACGAAAGCGUGGGGAUCAAACAGGAUUAGAUACCCUGGUAGUCCACGCCCUAAACGAUGAUUACUCGACAUACGCGAUACACAGUGUGUGUCUGAGCGAAAGCAUUAAGUAAUCCACCUGGGAAGUACGACCGCAAGGUUGAAACUCAAAGGAAUUGACGG
Molecule: ribosomal RNA, 907 nt
Filed under: uncultured Sphingobacteriales bacterium
Lineage: Bacteria; Pseudomonadati; Bacteroidota; Sphingobacteriia; Sphingobacteriales
Description: bacterial SSU rRNA
Rfam family: Bacterial small subunit ribosomal RNA
Source: RNAcentral